Molecule: ribosomal RNA, 468 nt
Filed under: uncultured bacterium
Lineage: Bacteria
Description: partial 16S ribosomal RNA
Rfam family: Bacterial small subunit ribosomal RNA
Source: RNAcentral
GACGAACGCUGGCGGCGUGCUUAACACAUGCAAGUCGAACGGAAAGGCCCUGCUUUUGUGGGGUGCUCGAGUGGCGAACGGGUGAGUAACACGUGAGUAACCUGCCCUUGACUUUGGGAUAACUUCAGGAAACUGGGGCUAAUACCGGAUAGGAGCUCCUGCUGCAUGGUGGGGGUUGGAAAGUUUCGGCGGUUGGGGAUGGACUCGCGGCUUAUCAGCUUGUUGGUGGGGUAGUGGCUUACCAAGGCUUUGACGGGUAGCCGGCCUGAGAGGGUGACCGGCCACAUUGGGACUGAGAUACGGCCCAGACUCCUACGGAAGGCAGCGGUGGGGAAUAUUGCACAAUGGGCGGAAGCCUGAUGCAGCAACGCCGCGUGCGGGAUGACGGCCUUCGGGUUGUAAACCGCUUUCGCCUGUGACGAAGCGUGAGUGACGGUAAUGGGUAAAGAAGCACCGGCUAACUACGUG